This 468-nucleotide ribosomal RNA is filed under the name uncultured bacterium. Its description in RNAcentral is "partial 16S ribosomal RNA". It matches the Rfam family "Bacterial small subunit ribosomal RNA", at positions 28 to 507 of the family's 1533-position model. The record is from RNAcentral.
GACGAACGCUGGCGGCGUGCUUAACACAUGCAAGUCGAACGGAAAGGCCCUGCUUUUGUGGGGUGCUCGAGUGGCGAACGGGUGAGUAACACGUGAGUAACCUGCCCUUGACUUUGGGAUAACUUCAGGAAACUGGGGCUAAUACCGGAUAGGAGCACCUGCUGCAUGGUGGGGGUUGGAAAGUUUCGGCGGUUGGGGAUGGACUCGCGGCUUAUCAGCUUGUUGGUGGGGUAGUGGCUUACCAAGGCUUUGACGGGUAGCCGGCCUGAGAGGGUGACCGGCCACAUUGGGACUGAGAUACGGCCCGGACUCCUACGGGAGGCAGCAGUGGGGAAUAUUGCACAAUGGGCGGAAGCCUGAUGCAGCAACGCCGCGUGCGGGAUGACGGCCUUCGGGUUGUAAACCGCUUUCGCCUGUGACGAAGCGUGAGUGACGGUAAUGGGUAAAGAAGCACCGGCUAACUACGUG